UACGUAGGGUGCAAGCGUUGUCCGGAAUUAUUGGGCGUAAAGAGCUCGUAGGCGGUUUGUCGCGUCUGCUGUGAAAACGCGAGGCUCAACCUCGCGCCUGCAGUGGGUACGGGCAGACUAGAGUGCGGUAGGGGGAGAUUGGAAUUCCUGGUGUAGCGGUGGAAUGCGCAGAUAUCAGGAGGAACACCGAUGGCGAAGGCAGAUCUCUGGGCCGUAACUGACGCUGAGGAGCGAAAGCGUGGGGAGCGAACAGG
Molecule: ribosomal RNA, 254 nt
Filed under: uncultured bacterium
Lineage: Bacteria
Description: partial 16S ribosomal RNA
Rfam family: Bacterial small subunit ribosomal RNA
Source: RNAcentral